This 305-nucleotide ribosomal RNA is filed under the name uncultured bacterium. RNAcentral's name for it is "bacterial SSU rRNA". It matches the Rfam family "Bacterial small subunit ribosomal RNA", at positions 333 to 637 of the family's 1533-position model. The record is from RNAcentral.
AGUGCCCUACGGGAGGCAGCAGUGGGGAAUAUUGCACAAUGGGGGAAACCCUGAUGCAGCGACGCCGCGUGAGUGAAGAAGUAUUUCGGUACGUAAAGCUCUAUCAGCAGGGAAGAAAAACCGGCCUUAGGGCCGCCAGACGGUACCUGACUAAGAAGCCCCGGCUAACUACGUGCCAGCAGCCGCGGUAAUACGUAUGGUGCAAGCGUUAUCCGGAUUUACUGGGUGUAAAGGGAGCGCAGGCGGUGCGGCAAGUCUGAUGUGAAAGCCCGGGGCUCAACCCCGGGACUGCAUUGGAAACUACC